RNAcentral lists this unclassified non-coding RNA (376 nucleotides) under uncultured bacterium. RNAcentral describes it as "contains 16S-23S intergenic spacer region". The record is from RNAcentral.
UCCGAGUUGUCCCCGGCGGUCCCCUUAGAGUCCCCGGCAUUACCCGCUGGCAACUAAGAGCAGGGGUUGCGCUCGUUGCGGCACUUAAGCCAACACCUCACGGCACGAGCUGACGACAGCCAUGCAGCACCUGUGCUAGCCCCUUACGGACACGGGCUUUCACCCGCUUUAACUAGCAUGUCAAGCCUAGGUAAGGUUCUUCGCGUUGCAUCGAAUUAAGCCACAUACUCCACCGCUUGUGCAGGCCCCCGUCAAUUUCUUUGAGUUUUAAUCUUGCGACCGUACUCCCCAGGCGGCAUGCUUAUCGCGUUAGCUUCGAUACUGCGUGCCAAAUUGCACCCAACAUCCAGUUCGCAUCGUUUAGGGCGUGGACUAC